GAAAAAGUACGCAAGAACUGCUAAUUCUAUGCCCCCAUACCUAACAGUAUGGCUUUUUCA
RNAcentral lists this transfer RNA (60 nucleotides) under Syncerus caffer (African buffalo). Its description in RNAcentral is "tRNA-Ser". Lineage: Eukaryota; Metazoa; Chordata; Mammalia; Artiodactyla; Bovidae. The record is from RNAcentral. RNAcentral also lists the same sequence under 1 other name.